This is a non-coding RNA of Acanthosepion pharaonis, 92 nucleotides long. Lineage: Eukaryota; Metazoa; Mollusca; Cephalopoda; Sepiida; Sepiidae. The record is from the annotation of a GenBank genome assembly.
AUUGAAGCAUCGGUUCUCGUAUGAUUACCGAAGUUAAGCAACGUUGAGCUUAGACAGUACCUAGAUGGGAUACCGCUUGAAAAUACCAGGUA